CGCCUGCUCACCAGCCAGCAGUCACAGAGAAGUAAAUAUCGUAGUGUGCAUAAAACCCAGGGAGCAGGCAGAACUGACGCACGUCACAGGCAGACCCGGACAUCACAGGUGGAUUCAGGCUUUCAGCGGUUUUCCCCAAUACUUCUGGUGGAAGACAUACCAAAUACAGAGAGAGGAGCAGUGAAGGGAACUGGAGUUAGAUAGUAGAUUGUCAGUCUGGGAUGCCAGUUUUUGAAACAUCCAGGUGUUCCUGACCACGUCCCUCCUUCUCUCUGAGAAUGAGGAGAUUGUGCCUUGAAGAGCAGUGAUCAUGAGAUGAGAAGCAGGAGGAUGCUAAGAGGAUAGAUCAACAAAAUGGAGAGUGCCUGGGUCCCUGAGGACAUCAGCAACCCAGGGAUGAAUGAGGACGGAAGCUUUGCUCUACAGCGACUGGAGAUUCUGACCCCUCUCACCUGCCCUGUGGUAUCAGGGCACAAGCCCUUCAACACUGGAGGUCAUUCAGUUAGGGUCACUUCCUUGGCUGGUCUCCCAACUCCCUCCGAUGGUGCCAGCUAUGUUCGA
Long non-coding RNA from Suricata suricatta (meerkat), 561 nucleotides. RefSeq lists it as uncharacterized. NCBI's taxonomy places the organism in Eukaryota, Metazoa, Chordata, Mammalia, Carnivora, Herpestidae. The record is from RefSeq and is a predicted model, not a curated record. The transcript has 4 exons.